UUUCCUAAUGUGUUCCUUAGAUGAGUGAGGUGUCUUCUAAAAAUGAUUCGAUUUGGUUCCCUUUCUGAUAGAGAAACAUUCUGUUGUAGAGAUUUACAUAGUACCUUAUCAUCCACUCAUCUAUCCAGUGAGCAGCGUGUGGUUGUGGGUUGAACACCUCCAUAGUGGUCAUGGACGCUCCCUAUUCAAAUAGAGUGGUGUAUAAACAGCAUGUUCUUGUCUGCUCUAGUUUCCAGUGAGCUCUGUGAGAGAUAACACUCCCAUACACUUUAAAUCUGGGUGAAGCAGAACUCAGAGAAGGAUGAUUUUAGGACAGUGUAUUUUAUUGCUACUCAUUUCAUAUUCUUAUGGACAGUCCCUGACCUCCUCUGAUUCUGUGAUGAAGAGACCUGGAGAGUCGGUCACUCUGUCCUGUACUGUCUCCGGAUUCUCAAUGGGCAGCUACUGGAUGCACUGGAUCCAUCAGAAACCAGGACAAGGACUGGAGUGGAUCGGGCGCAUUGACACUGGCACUGGCACUGCAUUCGCUCAGUCUCUACAGGGCCAGUUCUCCAUCAGUAAAGACACCAAUAAAAACUUGCUGUAUCUACAAGUGAAGAGUCUGAAAGCUGAAGACACGGCAGUUUAUUACUGUGCACGAGGGUCACAUUGACACAAAAGACUCCAGAGCUGUACAAAAACUUACACAAGCACGUCCUCAUGAGCUGUAAAUAUUCCCUCAGCAGGAAGCUGCACCCCAGAGACCUUUAUUAUAAACAACAUCAUCUAUUCACACUCAGAUCUUCUUCUUUAUAACAAUCUCUUCUAGCAGUUAUUAAUAUUAAUAUUAACAAUAAUCCACGUUAUGUAUCACACUUACAUUAUGACAUCUUUACUUAUUUGACUGGAGGUAAAUCAGCUCUAGGACAAUGAUUGUGAUGACUAGUUGGGACUAUAUACUGUACUAUUCAUGCUUUUAUUCCUCCUGAUUGUGAUGCCAGCUGCAGGAACACUACAGGUCGAUGGUUCAUUUCCUGAAUUUAGAAACACAGUCUGUUCA
Tachysurus fulvidraco (yellow catfish) is the source of this 1039-nucleotide non-coding RNA. The record is from the annotation of a RefSeq genome assembly. Lineage: Eukaryota; Metazoa; Chordata; Actinopteri; Siluriformes; Bagridae.